This 465-nucleotide ribosomal RNA is filed under the name uncultured bacterium. RNAcentral's name for it is "partial 16S ribosomal RNA". It matches the Rfam family "Bacterial small subunit ribosomal RNA", at positions 338 to 795 of the family's 1533-position model. The record is from RNAcentral.
CCUACGGGAGGCAGCAGUAGCGAAUCUUCCACAAUGGGCGAAAGCCUGAUGGAGCAACGCCGCGUGGGUGAAGAAGGUCUUCGGAUCGUAAAACCCUGUUGUUAGAGAAGAAAGUGCGUGAGAGUAACUGUUCACGUUUCGACGGUAUCUAACCAGAAAGCCACGGCUAACUACGUGCCAGCAGCCGCGGUAAUACGUAGGUGGCAAGCGUUAUCCGGAUUUAUUGGGCGUAAAGGGAACGCAGGCGGUCUUUUAAGUAUGAUGUGAAAGCCUUCGGCUUAACCGGAGUAGUGCAUUGGAAACGGGGAGACGUGAGUGCAGAAGAGGAGAGUGGAACUCCAUGUGUAGCGGUGAAAUGCGUAGAUAUAUGGAAGAACACCAGUGGCGAAAGCGGCUCUCUGGUCUGUAACUGACGCUGAGGUUCGAAAGCGUGGGUAGCAAACAGGAUUAGAUACCCUUGUAGUC